RNAcentral lists this ribosomal RNA (492 nucleotides) under uncultured bacterium. RNAcentral's name for it is "partial 16S ribosomal RNA". It matches the Rfam family "Bacterial small subunit ribosomal RNA", at positions 29 to 507 of the family's 1533-position model. The record is from RNAcentral.
AGUGAACGCUGGCGGUAGGCCUAACACAUGCAAGUCGAACGGCAGCACAGUAAGAGCUUGCUCUUACGGGUGGCGAGUGGCGGACGGGUGAGGAAUACAUCGGAAUCUACUUUUUCGUGGGUGAUAACGUAGGGAAACUUACGCUAAUACCGCAUACGACCUACGGGUGAAAGCAGGGGAUCUUCGGACCUUGCGCGAUUGAAUGAGCCGAUGUCGGAUUAGCUAGUUGGCGGGGUAAAGGCCCACCAAGGCGGCGAUCCGUAGCUGGUCUGAGAGGAUGAUCAGCCACACUGGAACUGAGACACGGUCCAGACUCCUACGGGAGGCAGCAGUGGGGAAUAUUGGACAAUGGGCGCAAGCCUGAUCCAGCCAUACCGCGUGGGUGAAGAAGGCCUUCGGGUUGUAAAGCCCUUUUGUUGGGAAAGAAAAGCAGCAGGUUAAUACCCCGCUGUUCUGACGGUACCCAAAGAAUAAGCACCGGCUAACUUCGUG